RNAcentral lists this long non-coding RNA (1035 nucleotides) under Cyanistes caeruleus (blue tit). RNAcentral's name for it is "lncRNA (ENSCCEG00000022820.1)". The record is from RNAcentral. Lineage: Eukaryota; Metazoa; Chordata; Aves; Passeriformes; Paridae.
CUUGAGUUUUAUUUUCAACAUGGAGUACUGCAUAUUAAACUUCCAGCAGCAAUGUUCACAUGUUUUGCUGCUUAGGCCUAGUACAGUAUUUUCUUUGCCUUGCUCUUUCACCUUAACUUUCCCUUCUAUCUUAUUUUUUGCACUUAUUGUUCUUCAUUUCAUUCUUACCUGCACAGAUAGUCAUCUGACCUAGUUUUAUGAUAUGGAUUAAAGUAAAUCCCAUAAUGGUAAUGGCUGUUAUAAUUGUUAUGUGACAUACGGUCCAAGAGGUCUAUCCCAAAGUGAAAGUUAUAUAUACAUCACAUUUGCAGGUUUCAAUUGAGGACGGACAGAUAUUGAAAUGCCCAACUUAUUGUACCUAGGUGCCAAAGGAGAUGAUGGAAAUGUCAAAAGGUCCUGCAAGGGAACCCAUGCUGAAAAUCAUGUUUCCAGCACAGAGAAAAUUAAAAUAUACUUAGGGUGCUUUCAGGGAAUUUUUUUUAGUCACCAGGUAGCUUUAGGUUAUUUGAUCAGCUACACCUGGAUCUUGUCUUGAUGCAAAAACUUAAACAAAUAUUUUUGUCAGCAGAGAAGAUGCCUCCAGUAACAAAAGGCACAUUUGAUGCGUGCUUUUUUUCCUCUAUGUUUCAAUUUUCUGUGUCAAAUCCAUACAGUCAGAAGAUCUGGAUAUCCUUUCUUCAGAUUUUCAGCUAACUGCAGUGUGUAAAAUAAUGCCAUGCCAAGAUUAUCUGUACUGAAGAUAUGGUAUGAUGAAAGCUGGUUCUGUAAAAAGAUUUCUUAGGAAAGGCACUCUGCAAACUUUAACAGAUCUCUAGAACAUCCUGUGUCAAACACAGCGUGCUGAGAUUUUGUCCCCCCCUCCCAAAAUAUGGCUACUGUUAACUGAGUGGUAAUUUCAGUGUCUUCUCUUUCAUCAGCUGAAUGUCAAGAUGAUGUCUAUAUUUCAUGUACAUCAAGUGAAUGGGGAAAUUUUCUCUGUGGAUAUCUUUUCUGCUUUUUAAUAAAUUCUUUCUUUUGCCUGAAGAGAAUUAGAAG